UGGGGAAUUUUGGACAAUGGGCGCAAGCCUGAUCCAGCAAUGCCGCGUGCAGGAUGAAGGCCUUCGGGUUGUAAACUGCUUUUGUACGGAACGAAACGGUUCUCUCUAAUACAGGGGGCUAAUGACGGUACCGUAAGAAUAAGCACCGGCUAACUACGUGCCAGCAGCCGCGGUAAUACGUAGGGUGCGAGCGUUAAUCGGAAUUACUGGGCGUAAAGCGUGCGCAGGCGGUUAUGUAAGACAGAUGUGAAAUCCCCGGGCUCAACCUGGGACCUGCAUUUGUGACUGCAUAGCUAGAGUACGGUAGAGGGGGAUGGAAUUCCGCGUGUAGCAGUGAAAUGCGUAGAUAUGCGGAGGAACACCGAUGGCGAAGGCAAUCCCCUGGACCUGUACUGACGCUCA
Molecule: ribosomal RNA, 402 nt
Filed under: uncultured bacterium
Lineage: Bacteria
Description: bacterial SSU rRNA
Rfam family: Bacterial small subunit ribosomal RNA
Source: RNAcentral